AUUGAACGCUGGCGGCAGGCCUAACACAUGCAAGUCGAGCGGAUGAAGGGAGCUUGCUCCUGGAUUCAGCGGCGGACGGGUGAGUAAUGCCUAGGAAUCUGCCUGGUAGUGGGGGAUAACGUCCGGAAACGGGCGCUAAUACCGCAUACGUCCUGAGGGAGAGAGUGGGGGAUCUUCGGACCUCACGCUAUCAGAUGAGCCUAGGUCGGAUUAGCUAGUUGGUGGGGUAAAGGCCUACCAAGGCGACGAUCCGUAACUGGUCUGAGAGGAUGAUCAGUCACACUGGAACUGAGACACGGUCCAGACUCCUACGGGAGGCAGCAGUGGGGAAUAUUGGACAAUGGGCGAAAGCCUGAUCCAGCCAUGCCGCGUGUGUGAAGAAGGUCUUCGGAUUGUAAAGCACUUUAAGUUGGGAGGAAGGGCAGUAAGUUAAUACCUUGCUGUUUUGACGUUACCAACAGAAUAAGCACCGGCUAACUUCGU
This 483-nucleotide ribosomal RNA is filed under the name uncultured bacterium. RNAcentral describes it as "partial 16S ribosomal RNA". It matches the Rfam family "Bacterial small subunit ribosomal RNA", at positions 30 to 506 of the family's 1533-position model. The record is from RNAcentral.